AUCGCUUCUCGGCCUUUUGGCUAAGAUCAAGUGUAGAAAUUUCUCUUGACAAUUUAUGUUGACAACAAAAGAAUUUAAAAUGUUUCUCAUGUUAAAGAGGACAAGUAUUU
This 110-nucleotide small nuclear RNA is filed under the name Rhinolophus ferrumequinum (greater horseshoe bat). RNAcentral's name for it is "U2 spliceosomal RNA (ENSRFEG00010017822.1)". It matches the Rfam family "U2 spliceosomal RNA". From Rfam's summary of the family: U2 is a small nuclear RNA (snRNA) component of the spliceosome (involved in pre-mRNA splicing). Complementary binding between U2 snRNA (in an area lying towards the 5' end but 3' to hairpin I) and the branchpoint sequence (BPS) of the intron results the bulging out of an unpaired adenosine, on the BPS, which initiates a nucleophilic attack at the intronic 5' splice site, thus starting the first of two transesterification reactions that mediate splicing. The record is from Rfam by way of RNAcentral. Lineage: Eukaryota; Metazoa; Chordata; Mammalia; Chiroptera; Rhinolophidae.